GUUUAUGGCCAUACCAUCCUGAACACACCCGAUGUUACCUGAUCUCAGAAGCUAAGCAGCAUUGGGCCUCGUUUGUACUUGGAUGGAGAAUGGACAGGGACUUCCAGCUCAGCUGCCCACU
RNAcentral lists this ribosomal RNA (121 nucleotides) under Mustela putorius furo (domestic ferret). The record is from RNAcentral. Lineage: Eukaryota; Metazoa; Chordata; Mammalia; Carnivora; Mustelidae.